This 769-nucleotide ribosomal RNA is filed under the name uncultured fungus. Its description in RNAcentral is "eukaryotic LSU rRNA". It matches the Rfam family "Eukaryotic large subunit ribosomal RNA", at positions 30 to 821 of the family's 3401-position model. The record is from RNAcentral. Lineage: Eukaryota; Fungi.
GAACUUAAGCAUAUCAAUAAGCGGAGGAAAAGAAACCAACAGGGAUUACCUCAGUAACGGCGAGUGUAGCGGUAACAGCUCAAAUUUGAAAUCUGCCGCAAGGCCGAGUUGUAAUUUGUAGAAGAUGCUUUGGGUAUGGCCCCGGUCUAAGUUCGUUGGAACACGACGUCAUAGAGGGUGAGAAUCCCGUAUGUGACUGGGUGCUUUUGCCUAUGUAAAGCUCUUUCGACGAGUCGAGUUGUUUGGGAAUGCAGCUCAAAAUGGGUGGUAUAUUUCAUCUAAAGCUAAAUAUUGGCCAGAGACCGAUAGCGCACAAGUAGAGUGAUCGAAAGAUGAAAAGCACUUUGGAAAGAGAGUUAAACAGUACGUGAAAUUGUUGAAAGGGAAGCGCUUGCAACCAGACUUGCACGCUGUUGAUCAUCCAGGCUUCUGUUUGGUGCACUCAACUGUGUUCAGGCCAGCAUCGGUUUUGGUGGUGGGAUAAAGGCCUUGGGAAUGUAGCUUCUUUCGGGGAGUGUUAUAGCCCUCGGUGCAAUGCCGCCUACUGGGACCGAGGACCGCGCUUCGGCUAGGAUGCUGGCGUAAUGGUUGUAAGCGACCCGUCUUGAAACACGGGCCAAGGAGUCUAACAUCUAUGCGAGUGUUUGGGCGUCAAACCCAUACGCGUAAUUAACGUGAACGGAGGUGAGAACCCUUAAGGGUGCAUCAUCGACCGAUCCUGAUGUCUUCGGAUGGAUUUGAGUAAGAGCAUAGCUGUUGGGACCCGAAA